RNAcentral lists this transfer RNA (70 nucleotides) under Hoplobatrachus occipitalis (groove-crowned bullfrog). RNAcentral's name for it is "transfer RNA-Val". It matches the Rfam family "tRNA". From Rfam's summary of the family: Transfer RNA (tRNA) molecules are approximately 80 nucleotides in length. Their secondary structure includes four short double-helical elements and three loops (D, anti-codon, and T loops). Lineage: Eukaryota; Metazoa; Chordata; Amphibia; Anura; Dicroglossidae. The record is from RNAcentral.
ACAAAAUGUAGCUUAAUUAAAGCAUCCCGCUUACGCCGGGAAGACAUCUGUGGAACCCAGACCAUUUUGA